This 253-nucleotide ribosomal RNA is filed under the name uncultured bacterium. RNAcentral's name for it is "partial 16S ribosomal RNA". It matches the Rfam family "Bacterial small subunit ribosomal RNA", at positions 524 to 776 of the family's 1533-position model. The record is from RNAcentral.
UACGGAGGAUGCAAGCGUUAUCCGGAAUGAUUGGGCGUAAAGCGUCCGCAGGUGGCAAUGUAAGUCUGCUGUCAAAGCGUCUGGCUCAACCAGAUAAAGGCAGUGGAAACUACAUAGCUAGAGUAAGGUAGGGGUAGAGGGAAUUCCAGGUGUAGCGGUGAAAUGCGUAGAUAUCUGGAGGAACACCGGUGGCGAAGGCGGCAUCCUGGACCGGUAUUGACGCUGAGGCGCGAAAGCUAGGGGAGCAAACGGG